GAUGAAGAACGCAGCAAAAUGCGAUAAGUAAUGUGAAUUGCAGAAUUUAGUGAAUCAUCGAAUCUUUGAACGCACAUUGCGCCCGCCAGUAUUCUGGCGGGCAUGCCUGUUCGAGCGUCAUUUCAACCCUCAAGCACAGCUUGGUGUUGGGACUCGCGUUAAUUCGCGUUCCCCAAAUUGAUUGGCGGUCACGUCGAGCUUCCAUAGCGUAGUAGUAAAACCCUCGUUACUGGUAAUCGUCGCGGCCACGCCGUUAAACCCCAACUUCUGAAUGUUGACCUCGGAUCAGGUAGGAAUACCCGCUGAACUUAAGCAUAUCAAUAAGCGAGGA
This 331-nucleotide unclassified non-coding RNA is filed under the name soil metagenome. Its description in RNAcentral is "partial contains 5.8S ribosomal RNA, internal transcribed spacer 2, and large subunit ribosomal RNA". The stretch from base 1 to 120 matches the Rfam family "5.8S ribosomal RNA", at positions 35 to 154 of the family's 154-position model. The record is from RNAcentral.